UUAGAAUAAGAUUUUUUUUUUUCAAAGGAGAAUAGUAGGAUUCUUGAGAUAUAGAGCUCAUUACAUCCCCAUUAUGUUUCCAAAACCAACUAAACAUUCCCUCGAAGUACAUCACCAAGGAAGAAACAAAAGCAUAAACCUGAUCGAAUUGACCUGCAAUAAACGCAUUAAGAGUUAUUUUCAGUAUAUACAAGUGCACUUGCAUAUUAACCGGGAUUAGUCUCACAUAUUCUGCAGCUACUUUCUUGAUGAUUGGCUGAACAGCAUGGCUGCCGUAAUCCAUAGUGUGAUUACUUGCUAGCUAUUCCAUACACUUGAGGGUUUACAAAAGUAGCAUUAGACAAGAAAGCUGUGCUUGAUUCAACAGCUGAGAAACCUGCUUCAUUAAUUUUCUUUCCUGUUUCUCUGGUUAGGUGACAGCCAUCAGCAACUGUCUGUUGCAAAGGAUCAAGGAUGUUCUGCAAAAAUCUAAGCAAUGUUCCAUCUUUAGCUGCCACAUGCUCCACAAAUAAGUAAAGCCCACCUGGUGUAAGCACCCUCUUCACCUCUAGACACAGAAGGUUCAAAUUAAAUCUCAGUAGCUUGCAUUGACACGAUUUUAGCAUUGCACUCAACAAAAACACAUAGAUUAGCAUAAAUUUUGAGAGUAAUAGGAAUUAAGUGAUCUUAAGUUGGUUGUAUGGAAAACAUAGUUCUGGCAUGGAGACAUACGAGAUAGGGAAUAAUUUAAUUGACCAAACAAAUUAUAAGCAUUGAACUCUCAAGGGGGAUUUGGAAUUCCCAUUGAACAGAAUACAUUCAUUAUUAAUACAUAAUGGGUUUAUUACAAGGAUAAUGUUGACCAAUCAAAUAUAUCCAUGAGAACUAGUUUCCAUCAUGUCUCUCCAUGUUUUCUUUCUGACGUGCCAAAAAAAUGUCUCUCCAUGUUCUUCCACAGGAAUUAUUAAGCUGAACAAAAUAUUGAAUAUCUUCUCUUAUAGAACUAAACAAAGAAAUCCAGAAUAAACUAACAGAAACAGAAGAAAUUCAAACUGGACUAUUUAUGUUAAAUGUUUUCUAGCUUAAGUGGAUGAAUAUAAAGUUUGCUAAACUUCAGAGAAUACAGAAUCCUCAUAAAAUCAUUUACCUUGCAAUGUCUGAUCAACAUUGGCAACUGAGCACAGUACGAGAGUUCCAAUAACUGCAUCAACUGAAGCAUCACUUAAUGGUAUGGCCUCCCCCACCUGGAUGUAAUGAAUAUCUUGAAAAUCAACGAAAAACAACUUUUUUCUCUUCCAUUUUACAACAAUUCCAUUUGAAAAUAUAAGUUACUAAAGCAAAAAUUGACAAAAUAAGCUUUGAACUCAAUAGCAUUAAAAUUGUGAGUAACUUGGAUUAUUGCUUUGUGAUGGAAUUAAAAGUAACUGUCAUCAAGUAAAGCAUGUCAUUUCCUUCCCAUCUAAAGACAAAUGAAAGAUCAACAUAAAGGGAGGAAGGGAAAUGGGUUGAGGGAAAAGUUUUACCUUUUCACUUCUUUCCAAAUAAUUUCCCCUUAACUUCCAUUUCUGUAGAAAGCAACUUUUCAUCUUUUUGGUUGCAUAAGAUGACACCAUGUGAUGGCAAUCUCUAAGGUUUAUACCAAUUUGGUUUCAAAGCAGUCAUGAAAAGGCCAAUUGAGAAUUGUGAUACUGAUACCCUCGUCUAAAAAGAAACCAAUCUGCAAUUUGGUUUCCGAGGGUGUAAUGGUCAUGUAUGGCAGGCAUUUUAAUGGGUUCAUUAUAGAUAAUGAAAUAGGAGAAACGGACUUACUGCUUGUAUAAAUUUGAAAUUUGUGGGCAGCAGACCAGCAGCCUCUGCAGCUUCCUGCGCAUAUCUUUCCAUCUUUACAUUUGGAUCCAUGCCAAAAACCUCUACAUCAGCAUCAUUGGCAUAGUAUUUGAGGUUAGGACCAGUGCCAAUGCCAAUCUCUAAUAUUCUCUUGGCCUUUCCCCUCAAAUUAGUAAAAAGCUGUGACUUGUAAGCCGCAAUCUCUGCCUCAUAGGAUCUCGUAGCGUCUGAAUUCAAAACCGAUGCAUAAAAUUCCUCGUACCAAUCUGGUCUUGGAGGGUGAACUCUAUUCAGUACAGUCUUAUAAUCAGAAGCAUUAGCCGGAGGCACUGAAACUGAAAGUAAACCUGUUGCUGUAGCUUCAAGAAAAUGCCUCCUUCCACAUGGGCAAAAUCUCGAUGGCUUGGGCUCAUGGUUACUAGUUUUUUCUAAUCCUCCAGGGUGAUUCGAGGGCGUGAUUAUCGAAGUUGAAGUCUUAUGGGAAGAAGUACAGAGAGUGUUGGGGUUUAGAGGAAAAAGAGAUGAAUGGAGUAACAUCCUUCAGAUUGUUGGGUUUGUUGUGAUGGUUUCUCUAUGAAGAUUCAACGCCACGGAAGUGAUUGUAGCAAUAUCUAUAGCUGUCGGAUGGGAACGUUUGGCAUCGCAG
Molecule: unclassified non-coding RNA, 2452 nt
Filed under: Hevea brasiliensis (rubber tree)
Lineage: Eukaryota; Viridiplantae; Streptophyta; Magnoliopsida; Malpighiales; Euphorbiaceae
Source: RNAcentral